ACCAAUAAUUAAAGUUAUUCAAGGGAUAGUUAGUUACUCGGCAUCCAAACAUAAACAAUAGUACGACCCGGAUGGCUUGGCGGAGAGGAUUCUGCAAGGAUUCGAGGGGCCAAUAAGGACUUUUCUUUCGAUCACUAUUGUUUAUGAUAUGCAGAAGGGCUGUGAUUAGAAGUCAGACCUCUCCAAUUCAUAGUUGUCAUGACGAUAGUAAUUCAAUGGGCUCUAUGUAAAAUUAUCAGCAUUCCUGCGAACGUAUAUUUAGUUCCAUAUCGAUUAUUCGCUAAAUAAAUCUUGAGUACUACUUAUAUAAAAAGCUCAAAAAAUUAUAUUCCAGCUAGUCUUUUUGGAUAAAAUCCUAAAUUAUUAUAAAAUACAAGGAUACAAACAAUAACCAUAUGAAAUUGGAUCGCAUAUCAUUGCACCAAUCAUGGACACAGCUACAAUUGGAGCUCAACUGGCUCAUUAAUUUUAUUGAGAACAGCCUGUUUAGAAGAGCUAAUAAGGAUUUAAGAUCAUCU
This 518-nucleotide long non-coding RNA is filed under the name Phoenix dactylifera (date palm). RNAcentral describes it as "long non-coding RNA (PDAC_LNC022298)". Lineage: Eukaryota; Viridiplantae; Streptophyta; Magnoliopsida; Arecales; Arecaceae. The record is from RNAcentral.